RNAcentral lists this small RNA (2572 nucleotides) under Pongo abelii (Sumatran orangutan). Its description in RNAcentral is "retained intron". The record is from RNAcentral. Lineage: Eukaryota; Metazoa; Chordata; Mammalia; Primates; Hominidae.
GAGGCGGGGCCAGGACGGCGGGACCGGCCGCUGAGUCCCAGCGAGGGCUGAGCCGGGCGGUGGGAGGAGGUCAGGAUGGUGGGGGAAUGGCAUGCUGGGGACCUCAUGGUGCCCUUAGGGCCUCGGCUGCAGGCAUAUCCUGAAGAACUCAUUCGACAGAGGCCUGGGCAUGACGGGCAUCCUGAAUACCUGAUCCGAUGGAGUGUCCUGAAGUGUGGGGAAGAGGGCAAAGUGGGUGUAGAAGAAGGCAAAGCAGAGCACAUCCUCAUGUGGCUGUCGGCUCCUGAGGUCUAUGCCAACUGCCCUGGGCUGUUAGGUGAGCGGGCGCUAUCUAAGGGACCUCAGCACGAACCAGCUGGGGUUUCAGGAAGCUUUCCUCGAGAUCCAGGAGGCCUGGAUGAAGUGGCAAUGGGAGAGAUGGAGGCUGAUGUUCAGGCGCUGGUACGCAGGGCGGCCAGGCAGCUGGCAGAAAGUGGGACCCCAAGCCUCACGGCCGCUGUGCUCCACACCAUCCAUGUGCUCAGUGCCUACGCCAGCAUCGGGCCCCUCACUGGUGUCUUCAGGGAGACAGGAGCCCUGGACCUGCUCAUGCACAUGUUGUGCAAUCCUGAGCCUCAGAUCCGCCGGAGUGCAGGCAAAAUGCUGCAGGCUCUGGCAGCCCACGAUGCUGGGAGUCGGGCUCACGUCCUUCUAUCACUGAGCCAGCAAGAUGGCAUCGAGCAGCACAUGGAUUUUGACAGUCGCUAUACAUUGCUGGAGCUGUUUGCAGAAACCACAUCCUCUGAAGAACACUGCAUGGCCUUUGAGGGCAUUCAUCUGCCUCAGAUCCCAGGAAAGCUGCUUUUCUCCUUGGUGAAGCGCUACCUUUGUGUCACCUCCCUCCUGGAUCAGCUGAAUAGCAGUCCAGAGCUGGGAGCUGGAGACCAAAGCUCCCCAUGUGCCACAAGAGAGAAAAGCCGGGGACAGCGGGAGCUGGAGUUCAGCAUGGCUGUGGGCAACCUCAUCUCUGAACUUGUGCGGAGCAUGGGCUGGGCCCGGAACCUCAGCGAACAGGGCAUGUCACCUCCCCGGCCAACCCGGUCCAUCUUUCAGCCCUACAUUUCAGGCCCCAGCCUUUUACGCCCCACCAUUGUCACCACCCCCAGAAGACAAGGGUGGGUCUUCCGCCAGCGCUCUGAAUUCUCCAGCCGUAGUGGCUAUGGAGAAUAUGUGCAGCAGACGCUGCAGCCGGGGAUGCGAGUGCGGAUGCUGGAUGAUUAUGAGGAGAUCAGUGCUGGGGAUGAGGGCGAGUUCCGGCAGAGCAACAAUGGCAUUCCCCCUGUGCAGACCCUGGGUGAAAAGGCCUUAGGUGAGAUCUCUGUGUCCGUGGAAAUGGCUGAGAGUCUGCUGCAGGUUCUCAGUAGUCGAUUUGAGGGCAGCACUCUCAAUGACCUGCUCAACUCCCAGAUCUACACCAAGUAUGGGCUGCUGUCUAAUGAACCAAGCAGCUCGUUUACUUCACGAAAUCACUCCUGUACCCCAGAUCCAGAAGAGGAGUCCAAGUCGGAGGCCAGCGUCUCAGAGGAAGAGACUGAGUCCCCCAAAGCAAAGGCCGAGGCCCCUAAGACAGAGGCCGAGCCCACCAAGACAAGGACUGAGCCCCCAAUGGCACAGAGUGAUUCUCAGCUGUUUAACCAGCUUCUAGUGACUGAGGGGAUGACCCUGCCCACUGAGAUGAAGGAGGCAGCCAGUGGUGAGUCAGGUUCUGGGAGGAAGCAAUUGGAACAAGUCCUGGGUAGUCUCAGUAGAAGAAAUGGAUAGUCAGGAUUGAAGGAAAGCCAUGGAGGAAGGUCAUUUUUGCAGGGGAAGAUGCCUUGGAACCAUGCGUCCAUCUUCUUCCUUUUGACCUUGAUUGUAUUUAAUUAACCAGCGCUCCCUUCCUUCAGUAUCUCUGGAAAAGGAGGAUCCGUUUUCUGGGGUGUCUUCAUCUCCUUUGUUUGAUCAUUAGAUCCCUGACACAGAAUUGGAAAACUCUGCAAGCUGCAGUAGCCGAUAAUGUGUUUAAAUAUUGGUAGGAUAACUGGGCUUGACUUUAAAGACUUCUAACUUCAAGAUGCCACAGUUCUUUUAGCCAUUGCCUUUUCCCACCAAUUUCAGAAAUGGCCAGAGCCUUGCGGGGUCCCGGUCCUCGCAGCUCCCUGGAUCAGCAUGUGGCAGCGGUCGUGGCCACUGUGCAGAUAUCCAGCUUGGACACAAACCUGCAGCUUUCAGGGCUCUCUGCCCUCUCUCAGGCUGUGGAGGAGGUCACUGAGCGGGACCACCCUCUGGUCCAUCCUGACAGAUCGCUGAGGUUAGCAUAUUGGGGAGGGAAGAGGUUUUGGUUGAAGCUGUAGGCAAAGGAUGGUGGUAGCGGGGAAGGAGCUUUGAGAUCACGAAUUAGAAAAGCUUGGGGUGAGGGAAGGCUCAGCCUGAGGAGCAGCCGAGCAGGAGGGUUGGAUGUUUUAAUGGCUCGUAUUCUUGGAGCACUUCUGUUAUGCCAGGUACUGUGCUAGUAUUUUACAUGCAUUCUCUCAUUAAAUCCACCUAACACCUG